RNAcentral lists this ribosomal RNA (517 nucleotides) under uncultured bacterium. RNAcentral describes it as "bacterial SSU rRNA". It matches the Rfam family "Bacterial small subunit ribosomal RNA", at positions 29 to 518 of the family's 1533-position model. The record is from RNAcentral.
ACGAACGCUGGCGGCGUGCUUAACACAUGCAAGUCGAACGAGGUGAUUGAAAGCUUGCUUUGAGAACCGAGUGGCAAACGGGUGAGUAACGCGUAGACAACCUGCCGCAAAGAUGGGGACAACAGUCCGAAAGGACUGCUAAUACCGAAUGUUGUCAGUUUUCCGCAUGGGAGACUGAUUAAAGAUGGCCUCUACUUGUAAGCUAUCGCUUUGCGAUGGGUCUGCGUCUGAUUAGCUGGUUGGUGGGGUAACGGCCUACCAAGGCGACGAUCAGUAGCCGGUCUGAGAGGAUGAACGGCCACAUUGGAACUGAGACACGGUCCAGACUCCUACGGGAGGCAGCAGUGGGGAAUCUUCCGCAAUGGGCGAAAGCCUGACGGAGCAACGCCGCGUGAGUGAAGAAGGGUUUCGGCUCGUAAAGCUCUGUUGAUGGGGACGAAUGUGCGAAAUGCGAACAGUUUUUCGCAAUGACGGUACCCGUCGAGGAAGCCACGGCUAACUACGUGCCAGCCGCCGC